RNAcentral lists this transfer RNA (65 nucleotides) under Lepidozona coreanica. RNAcentral describes it as "tRNA-Asn". The record is from RNAcentral. Lineage: Eukaryota; Metazoa; Mollusca; Polyplacophora; Chitonida; Ischnochitonidae.
UGGAAAGAAGCUCUUAGUAGCAUUUAGCUGUUAACUAAAAAGGAAUAAAUUAUUUUAUCUAUCCA